CCUACGGGAGGCAGCAGUGAGGAAUAUUGGUCAAUGGGCGAGAGCCUGAACCAGCCAAGUCGCGUGAGGGAGUACUGCCCUCUGGGUUGUAAACCUCUUUUGUCGGGGAGCAAAAGCCGGACGUGUCCGGCUGUGAGAGUACCCGAAGACAAAGCAUCGGCUAACUCCGUGCAAGCAGCCGCGGUAAUACGGAGGAUGCGAGCGUUAUCCGGAUUUGUUGGGGUUAAAGGGUGCGCAGGCGGAGUUUUAAGUCAGCGGUCAAGUCGUGGGGCUAAACCCCAUCCAGCCGUUGAAACUGGGGAUCUAGAGUGUGCGAGAGGUAUGCGGAAUGCGUGGUGUAGCGGUGAAAUGCAUAGAUAUCACGCAGAACCCCGAUUGCGAAGGCAGCAUACCGGUGCACAACUGACGCUCAGGCACGAAAGCGUGGGUAUCGAACAGGAUUAGAUACCCCAGUAGUC
This 458-nucleotide ribosomal RNA is filed under the name uncultured bacterium. RNAcentral's name for it is "partial 16S ribosomal RNA". It matches the Rfam family "Bacterial small subunit ribosomal RNA", at positions 338 to 795 of the family's 1533-position model. The record is from RNAcentral.